UGUGCAAAGGUAGCAUAAUCAUUUGUCUUUUAAUUGAAGGCUUGUAUGAAUGGUUUGACGAGAAAUAUACUUUCUUUAUUUUAAAUUAAAUGAAUUUAAUUUUUUAGUUAAAAAGCUAAAAUUUUGUUGGAGGACGAGAAGACCCUAUAGAGCUUUAUAUUAUUUAUAAUUUUAUAUUUUUGGAUUAAUAAUUAUUUAAUAUUAUAAAUAAUAUUUCGUUGGGGUGACGUGAAAAAUUAUAUAACUUUUCMUUAUUUUAUUCAUUAAUUAAUGUAUUUAUGAUCCAUAAUUUAUGAUUAUAAGAUUAAGCUACCUUAGGGAUAACAGCGUAAUUUCUUUGGAGAGUUCUUAUCGAUAAAGAAGUUUGCGACCUCGAUGUUGGAUUAAAAUAAGUACUGGGUGCAGCAUUUCAGUUACUAGGUCUGUUCGACCUUUAAAUUUUUACA
This 446-nucleotide ribosomal RNA is filed under the name Paralosalda innova. RNAcentral's name for it is "partial 16S ribosomal RNA". It matches the Rfam family "Bacterial large subunit ribosomal RNA", at positions 1947 to 2600 of the family's 2925-position model. Lineage: Eukaryota; Metazoa; Arthropoda; Insecta; Hemiptera; Saldidae. The record is from RNAcentral.